Molecule: small nuclear RNA, 36 nt
Filed under: Cervus elaphus hippelaphus
Lineage: Eukaryota; Metazoa; Chordata; Mammalia; Artiodactyla; Cervidae
Source: RNAcentral
AUUGCUUCUCAGACUUUUGGCUAAGAUCAAGUGCAG